AUCUUCGCUAGACUUUAUGACUCACUUUAAUGGUAUUAUGUAAUAUUUAUUUUUUUAAUGCAAAUCUGACGCGUUAUUUUUGUUUGAGAGCAACAGACUAUGGUGAUUAUUCAUAAGAUAAUUUUUAUAGUAUAAAAAAAAUUAGUAAAGAGCGAGAAAGAUAUAAUUAUUAAAUUGCGCACGUGCAGUAUGGAAAUUCCACAAAAUACAUCACACAAAACGUGUCACUACCCUCUUAUCCUUUGGUACAUUUUCUGUUAGAA
This 263-nucleotide unclassified non-coding RNA is filed under the name Melitaea cinxia (Glanville fritillary). Its description in RNAcentral is "misc RNA ENSMCXG00005008925.1". The record is from RNAcentral. Lineage: Eukaryota; Metazoa; Arthropoda; Insecta; Lepidoptera; Nymphalidae.